This is a long non-coding RNA of Arachis duranensis, 1005 nucleotides long. RefSeq lists it as uncharacterized. The transcript is spliced from 2 exons. The record is from RefSeq and is a predicted model, not a curated record. Lineage: Eukaryota; Viridiplantae; Streptophyta; Magnoliopsida; Fabales; Fabaceae.
CCCCUUUUUCCCUUCUCGAGAUCAAUUUAGAGGGGUUUUGGUUUCUAAUCUGCAGGAGUUCUAUAAAUCUCAUAAUAAGUUGUUAAUCCUCUGAAAAUGAAAACCUAAACCCGCAAAUCUCAAAACCACCUUCUCAAUGCUUCCCUAACCAGAAGCUCUGUUAUGCUGAGCCUUUGUUCCUGUUGUUGUUGCGCAUCUCUUCGAUUUCUUCUCGUCAGAAACUCUUUUUGCUCUCGAUCAAUUUUAAAAGGGUAGAACAUUAAUCUUUCAUCAUGUUGGGAUUUUGGUGCGGAAUAUCUCCAAGAAGAUGUUCAAUCUGUUCUGUUUGACAGGAAGAAUAAAUGAUAUUGAUCUGUCUAGGAAGAAGAAAGAACAAUUAGUGUUUAUGUUUAUGUUUGUAUAAGAGUCUGCCUAGAAUGUAUAGGAAUAUCGUAAGAUGCUAUGAUUUAACAUAGGAAGAUUAUUACUCUUUCAGCUCAGGAAAAUGUUCUUAUAGAUAUGUGUUUGAUAAGAAAAGUACAAGGGGAUGUAUGGUUGAAGAUUGAAGGGAGGAUUUUUAUAGUGAAGGUUAAAUAAGUGGGAUUUACAAAGUAUGGUUCAGCGUGAUUCCUCUAUAUCAAAGAAUAGAAAUGGUGAGGCAAUUCAAAUGUGAAGACUUUGCAAGUUCAAUCUGGUGAGGAUGAUGAACAAAGCUUCUCUGGGCCACUAAGUUUUGUUUGAAGGAGAGUUAGAGUGAGUCUAAUGAGAAUUGGACCACAAAAGAAAAGUAAAUCAGAGCUGAGAGAGUGAGAAACAUAGAGGCACAGAACACUAGCUUGAUGAGAAGUUGUAUGAAGAAGACAAAGAUGACUAGAAAAACUCAACUUGAGGGAUGAAGCUGCAAAAAGUGUACGAGAUGGAGAAUUUAAUCGUGCUUUAAAUCUUUCUAUUUGAAAAUGAACUUAGAAACCAUCUCAAGUCUUUGACUUAUAUGCAGUGGAAAUAUAUGUCAGUUUGUUCAAGUUA